RNAcentral lists this ribosomal RNA (1093 nucleotides) under agricultural soil bacterium SC-I-74. RNAcentral's name for it is "bacterial SSU rRNA". It matches the Rfam family "Bacterial small subunit ribosomal RNA", at positions 9 to 1071 of the family's 1533-position model. The record is from RNAcentral.
GAGUUUGAUCCUGGCUCAGAACGAACGCUGGCGGCGUGGAUAAGACAUGCAAGUCGAGCGCUGAUUACAGGGUAGCAAUAUUCUGUAGUUGGAGCGGCGCAAGGGUGCGUAACACGUGGGUAAUCUGCCAUGAAGUCUGGGAUAACUCGCUGAAAGGCGAGCUAAUACCGGAUGUGAAAAUUAGGAGGCAUCUUCCGAUUUUCAAAGCUGGGGACCGUAAGGCCUGGCGCUUCAUGAUGAGCCCGCGGCCUAUCAGCUAGUUGGUGAGGUAACGGCUCACCAAGGCUAAGACGGGUAGCUGGUCUGAGAGGACGACCAGCCACACUGGAACUGAGACACGGUCCAGACACCUACGGGUGGCAGCAGUCGAGAAUUUUUCACAAUGGGGGAAACCCUGAUGGAGCGACGCCGCGUGGGGGAUGAAUGGCUUCGGCCCGUAAACCCCUGUCAUUUGCGAACAAAUUGGUUCAAUUAAUAACUGAACCAUUGAUAGUAGCGAAANAAGAANGGACGGCUAACUCUGUGCCAGCAGCCGCGGUAAUACAGAGGUCCCAAGCGUUGUUCGGAUUCACUGGGCGUAAAGGGUGCGUAGGCGGUCGGGUAAGUCUGAUGUGAAAUCUCACAGCUUAACUGUGAAACUGCAUUGGAUACUAUUCGGCUAGAGAGUUGGAGGGGGGACUGGAAUUCUUGGUGUAGCAGUGAAAUGCGUAGAUAUCAAGAGGAACACCAGUGGCGAAGGCGAGUCCCUGGACAACUUCUGACGCUGAGGCACGAAAGCUAGGGGAGCAAACAGGAUUAGAUACCCUGGUAGUCCUAGCUGUAAACGGUGCUUAUUUGCUGUAAAAGGAAUCGACCCCUUUUGUGGCGUAGCAAACGCGUUAAAUAAGCCGCCUGGGAAGUACGGUCGCAAGAUUAAAACUCAAAGAAAUUGACGGGGGCCUGCACAAGCGGUGGAGUAUGUGGCUUAAUUCGAUGCAACGCGAAGAACCUUACCUGGCCUUGACAUGCAAGUAGUAGAAGGAUGAAAGUCUGACGAUCCCGCAAGGGAAGCUUGCACAGGUGCUGCAUGGCUGUCGUCAGCUCGUGUCGUGAG